UCUGUUAAAGACGUUUUGGUUAAGUUUGUGUUAUUCUGUUUCUCUCUCUUAUGCCUGUCUGUCUGUACAUCUCUCUCUCUCUCUCUCUCUCUCUCUCUCUCUCUCUCUCUCUCUCUCUCUCUCUCUCUCUCUCUCUCUCUCUCUCUCUCUCUCUCUCUCUCUCUCUCUCUCUCUCUCUCUCUCUCUCUCUCUCUCUCUCUCUCUCUCUCUCUCUCUCUCUCUCUCUCUCUCUCUCUCUCUCUCUCUCUCUCUCUCUCUCUCUCUCUCUCUCUCUCACUCACACAGAAUGAUGCCAAUUCCAUGGAGGAAAUUAAAAUGUUUAUCCGGAGUGAAGUAUUGCGGUUGUUUGAAGAGAGACUAUCAAGCCAUGCCAUGCAGAAGACGCCGGCGGCCAUUUUAGCGGCGCAGGUUCGACAGGGUUCUCCCGGUCCCCCUGGCAACGACGGAUCCCCAGGGCUUCCAGGGGAAGAAGGCCCCCCCGGCCCUCAAGACAAAUGAAGAAUUGGGAGGAGAAUAAGAGAAAGUAAUAUCAGUUUGGACAGAAAAGAGCACCACGAUUGAUACCUCACUCCCCUCAACUCCACGAAAAACAAAGCUCUGGUAAAACGUAAAAGGAAAGGAGUGAGGGAGAGAGGGUGGAGAGUGGACAUCCUUUGUCAAACCCUGGGCAACUCUCUGACUGCUCAGCUCACACAAACAACCUCCUUCAUCAAUAACGACUCUCUGACUGCUCAGCUCACACAAACAACCUCCUUCAUCAAUAACGACUCUCUGACUGCUCAGCUCACACAAACACACUCCUUCAUCAAUAACAAUUUGAUUUGCUACCUCUAUAAGACAUUGAAUAGAAUUACCUAGCAUGCUGCGCCCACUGUGCAAUCUCUUCUAGUUCCUGUUGUAAGAGCCAUGCAAGUUCUAGUGAUGAAUUAUACUGCUAAACAUAUAGGUGCUUUGCGGUUCCAUGUAGAUCCCGUUUGAGAGCCAUGUUUAUGAAGAGAGUCAUCGAUUGAACCCUUUUUGGUUCAAUAUAGUACCAUCUCUUCUAGCAGUGUCAUGUGUCCUAAUGUGUUGGUCCUUAUAUCUUAGAGCAGGGGUGGGCAGCUCCAGUCCUCCAGGGCCUGGUUGGUCUCACACUUUUUCUCCAUCCCUAGCAAACACAGCUGAUUAAUCACCUGGCAUUCUAAACUGAAGAUCAGGAUCAGGUGAUUAUUAGAGUCAGGUGUGUUAGCUGGGCUGGAGCGAAAACUGUGGCACCAAUCAGGCCCUGGAGGACUGGAAUUGCCCACCCCUAUCUUAGAGCAGGGGCAUCUAGCUACCUCACAGUGUUCCAUUUAUCUAACUACCAGUGUUAACGUUGAUACAGUAUAACUGACUACGAGUAAGAUAAUAUGCGGCUGUCAACAAUUACAAUGUAACUACCAAGUGAAUGUACUUAAUCUACUGUGUCUAGACCACGUUUCCCAAACUGGGUCCUGGGGACCCCAAGGGGUGCAUGUUUUGGUUUAUGCCCUAGUACUACACAGCUGAUUCAAAUAGGGCAAACACCAAAACGUGCACCCGUUAGGGUCCCCAGGACCCAGUUUGGGAAACGCUGGUCUAGGCUAAUCGUAUUCAUCAUAUUAAGUAACACUCAGAAUUCAACUGACCUGUUUCUAUUAAUUUAAUGGUUUUCCCUGUUUGAUUUGAUAUGCUUCAAUGUCCUGUCUGGUUUAUUUGAUAUGCUUCAAUGUCCUGUCUGUUUAUUUUAUAUGCUUCAAUGUCCUGUCUGGUUUAUUUGAUAUGCUUCAAUGUCCUGUCUGGUUUAUUUUAUAUGCUUCAAUGUCCUGUCUGGUUUAUUUGAUAUGCUUCAAUGUCCUGUCUGGUUUAUUUGAUAUGCUUCAAUGUCCUGUCUGGUUUAUUUUAUAUGCUUCAAUGUCCUGUCUGUUUAUUUGAUAUGCUUCAAUAUCCUGUCUGUUUAUUUUAUAUGCUUCAAUGUCCUGUCUGGUUCAUUUGAUAUGCUUAAAUGUCCUGUCUGUUUGAUUUGAUAUGAUUCAAUGUCCUGUCUGGUUUAUUUGAUAUGCUUCAAUGUCCUGUCUGGUUUAUUUGAUAUGCUUCAAUGUCCUGUCUGUUUAUUUGAUAUGCUUCAAUGUCCUGUCUGGUUUAUUUUAUAUGCUUCAAUGUCCUGUCUGGUUUAUUUGAUAUGCUUCAAUGUCCUGUCUGGUUUAUUUGAUAUGCUUCAAUGUCCUGUCUGGUUUAUUUUAUAUGCUUCAAUGUCCUGUCUGUUUAUUUGAUAUGCUUCAAUAUCCUGUCUGUUUAUUUUAUAUGCUUCAAUGUCCUGUCUGGUUCAUUUGAUAUGCUUAAAUGUCCUGUCUGUUUGAUUUGAUAUGAUUCAAUGUCCUGUCUGUUUAUUUGAUAUGCUUCAAUGUCCUGUCUGGUUUAUUUGAUAUGAUUCAAUGUCCUGUCUGUUUGAUUUGAUAUGCUUCAAUGUCCUGUCUGUUUAUUUGAUAUGCUUCAAUGUCCUGUCUGUUUAUUUUAUAUGAUUCAAUGUCCUGUCUGUUUGAUUUGAUAUGCUUCAAUGUCCUGUCUGUUUAUUUUAUAUGAUUCAAUGUCCUGUCUGUUUGAUUUGAUAUGCUUCAAUGUCCUGUCUGUUUGAUUAGAUAUGCUUCAAUGUCCUGUCUGGUUUAUUUGAUAUGCUUCAAUGUCCUGUCUGGUUCAUUUUAUAUGCUUCAAUGUCCUGUCCGGUUUAUUUGAUAUGAUUCAAUGUCCUGUCUGAUUCAUUUGAUAUGCUUUAAUGUCCUGUCUUGUUUAUUUGAUAUGCUUCAAUGUCCUGUCUGUUUGAUUUGAUAUGCUUCAAUGUCCUGUCUGGUUUAUUUGAUAUGAUUCAAUGUCCUGUCUGUUUGAUUUGAUAUGCUUCAAUGUCCUGUCUGGUUUAUUUGAUAUGAUUCAAUGUCCUGUCUGUUUGAUUUGAUAUGCUUCAAUGUCCUGUCUGUUUAUUUUAUAUGCUUCAAUGUCCUGUCUGUUUAUUUUAUAUGCUUCAAUGUCCUGUCUGUUUGAUUUGAUAUGCUUCAAUGCUUUAAAGUGGUUCUAAUCAAAAUGCAGCUUCUUCUUUACAAAUAAUUAUUUGUUGGGAAAAUCAAGAGGAAAAUGUUUGUCUCUUGGGGUAAAUCGGAAAGAAAUUCAACAACUUUUUAAUUCUGCCGUUGUUGACUUGUGCCUCCUCUACUCCACGCUGCUGGGCGAGAGAGAGAGAAGGAGAGAGAGAGAGAGAGAGGUACAGAGGGAGGGAGAGAGGUACAGAGAGGGAGGGAGGGAGAGAGAGAGAGGGAGGGAGGGAGAGAGAGAGAGAGAGAGAGAGGGUGAGAGUGAGGGAGGGAGAGAGAGGGGGAGAGAGGGAGAGAGUGAGGGAGGGAGAGAGAGAGGGAGAGAGUGAGGGAGGGAGAGAGAGGGGGAGAGAGUGAGGGAGGGAGAGAGAGGGGGAGAGAGUGAGUUUGGGCUAAUAUUUUCUCAUUAUGUCUGUCAUCCUCCACUGGAGAGCAUCUCUCCUCUGGAAUAUCCAAUUUGACUUCCUCUGAAAUGUGCCAAAAUGAAGAGUUUAUGAAGAAAAAUAACCUCUCUGCUGGAUCCACCCUCUCUUCUUGACUCAUGGUUUUGAUAUGACUUGGGGCCGUGAUCUGUCAAACUAUUGAAGUACAUCCAUAGACAUAGAUCCAUGGAUACAGUCUCCAGAUGAUGUUAAUUGUAGCGAUGGGGGAUUAGGGGGUUUGUAGAUGUUCUUACAUAACUUUGUCACUGUUUGAUGUUAUUGGGUCAUCUUUGCCAUUUUUUUCACAUUUUUUGACUUAUGUCACUAUUUUUAUUGACCUCUGUCACUGCGUUUAAAUUUGAUUGUAUUUUAUAAGACAUUAUAGGCUUUCUUCCCGUACACAUGUACCAUAUUGAAAAUGUAUAAAUCCAUCAUGUUUUACGUUGACAUUUAUUUGGCCGGUUUGCCAUAUUCCGAUUGUGUAUUACACCUUGCCAUACAUCUUGGGUUUGUUCAUUGUGCAUUUGCACCUGCUAUUUCAGAGAGAGUAAAAAACACAUAAAAGCUAAUAAACGAAUACAGUCAGUAGCCUGCAGGUAUGAAUGCAUUGAUUAUAUUGUAAAGCCAUGAGGCAGGUGUGGAUGCUUAGUGAAUCAGCCACUAAGUACAGUCUACAGUUCCCUUUCCAGCAUCCAGGCAGUUUCUUAAUCACUGUCAUUUACACAGCAGUGUCCCCCUGGCUCUCUGUGCUGCUUUCUGUUGGUCAAUGAAGCUGGGAAACACAAUACUGCUUGUCAAUGUAUCUGUAGGAUGUCGGUCCCCUCAGUGGAUCAAUAUGUCAUAUCCUCUUCAUCCCCGUGGGCCCAUGCAGUGGUUUGAUGUUUUAAAGGUGAAAUCUGUGAUUUGUACAGCAAAUUUUUUUUUUUUUUCAAUUUUCAGUUAAUCAUUUAUAGCCAUUGAUUCCUAAAGAAUAUAAGUUAUGAAUGCCUCAUGAGCUUAGUAGAACUGUCUUACACCGUCAGUGUAAUGGUAAACAAACACUGUGUAGCUUCAGAAUGUGGUUAAACUAUAAUUUUGAUCUCCUGGAUGGUCAGUUCUUUCAUCCAUAGCUCCGUCUAUGAAUUUAAGAGUGGUUACAUUUAUUCAGACACAUCUCUCAGCUGUAUACCAACAAAAGUGGCGGGGCUGGAGCAUCUGCUUUGUUGUUGUUUGAAUGACGGACUACAGCUUUAAGGUACAGUGCUAUUCUUUCCCAUGGAAUGCUACAGUAUGCCGGCUCCCUGAGUGAGGGUUGGAGGCGCCGUGCGUGUUUGAAAGGAGACUCAU
Molecule: long non-coding RNA, 4828 nt
Filed under: Oncorhynchus mykiss (rainbow trout)
Lineage: Eukaryota; Metazoa; Chordata; Actinopteri; Salmoniformes; Salmonidae
Description: lncRNA (ENSOMYG00000074376.1)
Source: RNAcentral